UCUAAUGAUAUACACAACAAGAAACCCUCGAUUCUUUCAUUUGCUUUCAGGAUUUUAUGCUCUCGACACUUUUAAGGACUAAUCUUUGAUUCUCUUCAUCAUCUCAGCGAAGUCUUUCAAUUUUGGGCAAGCUUUGCUCCCAAUUUUUGCUUUAAUCUUCUUCCAAUUCUUUUCAAAAUUUUCAAUUUCAUGGCUGAAAUUCAUAGUUAUUUUUCUACUGUGUUCUUGUUUAUCUACUCAUCUCAUUCCUUUUGUUUCUCUCUUUCAUUCUUAAAAUGUUCCUUUUGCAUGAUCUCUUUAUUUUUCUUCAGAUUUUCAAAGAUUAUUUUUUUCAAUUCUUUAUAUCUUCUCAGCUAGAUUUUUCGAAUUUCAGGUAUGAUUUUUCUCAACUUUUGCCUCAAUUUCUUCCAAUUUCUCUUUAGACUUCAGAAUUUUCAUUCCUGGAAUUCGUGGCUGAUGUUUGUAAUAGUGAAAGGGGUAGAGCUUCGGAAGGAAAAAAUGUACAUAUAGAGUGAGAAUUUCACAUAUACCUAUCGUUUCCUUGAAGUUGAUUUACAAGGCAUGUAUCGAGUUUUUACGACCAGUAUGAAUGGCUCCUUUACUUUUUAUUAUUUUGAGCUAUCGGGAAGUUACUUUUACGCAAAUAAUUGUAGAAAAAAAGAAUCUAUCUGAUAAUCCUUUGUGA
Non-coding RNA from Nicotiana tabacum (common tobacco), 685 nucleotides. Lineage: Eukaryota; Viridiplantae; Streptophyta; Magnoliopsida; Solanales; Solanaceae. The record is from RefSeq and is a predicted model, not a curated record.